This 497-nucleotide ribosomal RNA is filed under the name uncultured bacterium. RNAcentral's name for it is "partial 16S ribosomal RNA". It matches the Rfam family "Bacterial small subunit ribosomal RNA", at positions 28 to 507 of the family's 1533-position model. The record is from RNAcentral.
GAUGAACGCUGGCGGCGUGCCUAAUACAUGCAAGUCGAGCGAACGGACGAGAAGCUUGCUUCUCUGAUGUUAGCGGCGGACGGGUGAGUAACACGUGGAUAACCUACCUAUAAGACUGGGAUAACUUCGGGAAACCGGAGCUAAUACCGGAUAAUAUUUUGAACCGCAUGGUUCAAAAGUGAAAGACGGUCUUGCUGUCACUUAUAGAUGGAUCCGCGCUGCAUUAGCUAGUUGGUAAGGUAACGGCUUACCAAGGCAACGAUGCAUAGCCGACCUGAGAGGGUGAUCGGCCACACUGGAACUGGGACACGGUCCAGACUCCUACGGGAGGCAGCAGUAGGUAAUCUUCCGCAAUGGGCGAAAGCCUGACGGAGCAACGCCGCGUGAGUGAUGAAGGUCUUCGGAUCGUAAAACUCUGUUAUUAGGGAAGAACAUAUGUGUAAGUAACUGUGCACAUCGUGACGGUACCUAAUCAGAAAGCCACGGCUAACUACGUG